GAUGAACGCUGGCGGCGUGCCUAAUACAUGCAAGUCGAGCGAACAGACGAGGAGCUUGCUCCUCUGACGUUAGCGGCGGACGGGUGAGUAACACGUGGAUAACCUACCUAUAAUACUGGGAUAACUUCGGGAAACCGGAGCUAAUACCGGAUAAUAUAUUUAACCGCAUGGUUCAAUAGUGAAAGACGGUUUUGCUGUCACUUAUAGGUGGAUCCGCGCCGCAUUAGCUAGUUGGUAAGGUAACGGCUUACCAAGGCAACGAUGCGUAGCCGACAUGAGAGGGUGAUCGGCCACACUGGAACUGAGACACGGUCCAGACUCCUACGGGAGGCAGCAGUAGGGAAUCUUCCGCAAUGGGCGAAAGCCUGACGGAGAAAAGCGGCGGGAGUGAUGAAGGUCUUCGGAUCGUAAAACUCUGUUAUUAGGGAAGAAAAAAUGUGUAAGUAACUAUGCACGUCUUGACGGUACCUAAUCAGAAAGCCACGGCUAACUACGUG
RNAcentral lists this ribosomal RNA (497 nucleotides) under uncultured bacterium. RNAcentral describes it as "partial 16S ribosomal RNA". It matches the Rfam family "Bacterial small subunit ribosomal RNA", at positions 28 to 507 of the family's 1533-position model. The record is from RNAcentral.